ACCUGGCUGGCUAAGUUGGUGGAGCAUACAGCUCUUAAUCUUGGGGUUGUGGGUUUGAGUCCCACGUUGGGUG
Molecule: transfer RNA, 73 nt
Filed under: Canis lupus familiaris (dog)
Lineage: Eukaryota; Metazoa; Chordata; Mammalia; Carnivora; Canidae
Also listed under: 1 other name
Rfam family: tRNA
About the family: Transfer RNA (tRNA) molecules are approximately 80 nucleotides in length. Their secondary structure includes four short double-helical elements and three loops (D, anti-codon, and T loops).
Source: Rfam by way of RNAcentral